RNAcentral lists this ribosomal RNA (460 nucleotides) under uncultured bacterium. Its description in RNAcentral is "partial 16S ribosomal RNA". It matches the Rfam family "Bacterial small subunit ribosomal RNA", at positions 338 to 795 of the family's 1533-position model. The record is from RNAcentral.
CCUACGGGCGGCAGCAGUGAGGAAUAUUGGUCAAUGGACGAGAGUCUGAACCAGCCAAGUAGCGUGAAGGAUGACUGCCCUAUGGGUUGUAAACUUCUUUUAUAUGGGAAUAAAAUGUUCCACGUGUGGGAUUUUGUAUGUACCAUAUGAAUAAGGAUCGGCUAACUCCGUGCCAGCAGCCGCGGUAAUACGGAGGAUCCGAGCGUUAUCCGGAUUUAUUGGGUUUAAAGGGAGCGUAGGUGGAUUGUUAAGUCAGUUGUGAAAGUUUGCGGCUCAACCGUAAAAUUGCAGUUGAAACUGGCAGUCUUGAGUACAGUAGAGGUGGGAGGAAUUCGUGGUGUAGCGGUGAAAUGCUUAGAUAUCACGAAGAACUCCGAUUGCGAAGGCAGUUCACUGGACUGCAACUGACACUGAGGCUCGAAAGUGUGGGUAUCAAACAGGAUUAGAUACCCCUGUAGUC